AUUGAACGCUGGCGGCAGGCCUAACACAUGCAAGUCGAGCGGAUGAAGGGAGCUUGCUCCUGGAUUCAGCGGCGGACGGGUGAGUAAUGCCUAGGAAUCUGCCUGGUAGUGGGGGAUAACGUCCGGAAACGGGCGCUAAUACCGCAUACGUCCUGAGGGAGAAAGUGGUUGAUCUUCGGACCUCACGCUAUCAGAUGAGCCUAGGUCGGAUUAGCUAGUUGGUGGGGUAAAGGCCUACCAAGGCGACGAUCCGUAACUGGUCUGAGAGGAUGAUCAGUCACACUGGAACUGAGACACGGUCCAGACUCCUACGGGAGGAAGCAGUGGGGAAUAUUGGACAAUGGGCGAAAGCCUGAUCCAGCCAUGCCGCGUGUGUGAAGAAGGUCUUCGGAUUGUAAAGCACUUUAAGUUGGGAGGAAGGGCAGUAAGUUAAUACCUUGCUGUUUUGACGUUACCAACAGAAUAAGCACCGGCUAACUUCGUG
This 484-nucleotide ribosomal RNA is filed under the name uncultured bacterium. RNAcentral describes it as "partial 16S ribosomal RNA". It matches the Rfam family "Bacterial small subunit ribosomal RNA", at positions 30 to 507 of the family's 1533-position model. The record is from RNAcentral.